RNA transcript from Ceratina calcarata, 1264 nucleotides. RefSeq lists it as uncharacterized. The transcript is spliced from 3 exons. The record is from RefSeq and is a predicted model, not a curated record. Lineage: Eukaryota; Metazoa; Arthropoda; Insecta; Hymenoptera; Apidae.
GAAAUUUCAAAGUAAACUCGAAGAGUACGAGGAGAUCGUCGAUGAUUUCGAUGCAAUCGGAUCCGUGUACCUUUUAUCCUCGGUUAAUAUCUCCACACCGCGGUGGGAGGAUCGGAAAGUGCGAAAGUACAUGCGAACUCCUCGGAUCCCUCGCGUGCUACGUGUCAUUAGACAGCAGGUUACCAUCUAAUUGCAAGUGCAUCGUUCCACCCACGGUUCCUUCAAAGGACUCGCCAGAAAAUUUAUAUACUGCCCGUUUGGCAACAACUUUUAUUAGAACGUUUCAUCGAUCGGUGCUGAGAUCUGGAAACGAGCAGCAUCGGUUUUGAACCGAGGAAGCCAAGAGCGAACAAUGUUGCGGCACAGGUCGUUCAUUACUGGUUCGGUAGUAAUCGAGGGACUAUUGCGAAGAAAAGAAACGGCAGGUUGCUUCCCACGGUGAUUUCGCGGCGUUCGUCACGAAUCGCAUGACGACACCAGACGACAACGAGACAGAGGAAUCGUUUCGAGGGAUCCAGGACGCCUUUUCGGGCGGCGCAUCGUCGCGUUUACAACAUCGUAGAUAUAUUCUGCAGGAAACGGGCGAGGAGAGGGCACGAAGGAGGAUCGUAGACGCUUCUAGCCUAGAUCAAAACCCGUAAUCACGAGAUGAUGACAAACCCGGGGGACAGAUGAAGCGGGGAAACGAGGAGAAACGGUCCAAGAAGAGAUCGAAUAAAGGGGGAUGAAGAACGAGGAGUCAAGACCUGAGCUGCGAAUGGGACACGUGUACGGUGUCACAUCUAUCUAAAAAGUUCAUCGUUACAAAGAAGAUCUUUUUGAAAGAGUUUCCUAGAAUGUGAACCGUCUCCGGGAACCGUGGCGGCGAGUGUGUAAUCGAAGGAAUCGUGGAACACUUUUCUCAUGCAAAUACGGCCCGAUGCGGGAAGGGACAACGAACUUCUUCUUUCGACUGCUUAAAACUUCGAACUUAGGUCCUUUUAAAUUUAAAUGUUCCUCCCCGCUCGAGCAGACGUUCCACACCGAGUUCUCUCGCGAACAUGAUAAAAAACGAAAGGAGCUUACCUCUUUUCUCAAUAAUACGUAUGCAUCUGAAUUUCUUUUUCAAUUACUAUCAACAGUUGGCUAAGUACAAAACUAAUAACUGUCUUAUUACAUAUGUAAACAAGUUAUGCGAUCUUUGCACCAGUCUAACAUACUGAUACAUUUAUAGAAAAAUUGUGUAAUGUAUAAAUACAAGACAAUAAAAGGUGAGUGCGAUGUA